GACAGAGGUGCCAAGCGUUAGGCGGAAUCACUGGGCUUAAAGCGUGUGUAGGUGGAUUUGUAAGUACCUUGUGAAAUCCCAUGGCUCAACCAUGGAACUGCUCGGUAUACUGCGAAUCUUGAGCCACUUAGGGGCUACCGGAACAAAUGGUGGAGCGGUGAAAUGCGUAGAUAUCAUCUGGAACGCCAAUGGUGAAAACAGCUCGCUGGGGGUUUGCAGACGCUGAGACACGAAAGCCAGGGGAGCGAACGGG
RNAcentral lists this ribosomal RNA (253 nucleotides) under uncultured bacterium. RNAcentral's name for it is "partial 16S ribosomal RNA". It matches the Rfam family "Bacterial small subunit ribosomal RNA", at positions 524 to 776 of the family's 1533-position model. The record is from RNAcentral.